GGUGGUGCAUGGUUGUCGUCAGCUCGUGUCGUGAGAUGUUGGGUUAAGUCCCGCAACGAGCGCAACCCUUAAGCUUAGUUGCCAGCAUUCAGUUGGGCACUCUAAGGUGACUGCCGGUGACAAACCGGAGGAAGGUGGGGAUGACGUCAAAUCAUCAUGCCCCUUAUGACCUGGGCUACACACGUGCUACAAUGGACGGUACAAACGGUUGCCAACCCGCGAGGGGGAGCUAAUCCGAUAAAACCGUUCUCAGUUCGGAUUGUAGGCUGCAACUCGCCUACAUGAAGCCGGAAUCGCUAGUAAUCGUGGAUCAGCAUGCCACGGUGAACACGUUCCCGGGUCUUGUACACAC
This 352-nucleotide ribosomal RNA is filed under the name uncultured bacterium. Its description in RNAcentral is "bacterial SSU rRNA". It matches the Rfam family "Bacterial small subunit ribosomal RNA", at positions 1037 to 1390 of the family's 1533-position model. The record is from RNAcentral.